AAUUUAUUAGUAUAUUUGUACAUUUAAUUUCCAAUUAAAUAGAGAAAAAUUA
Molecule: transfer RNA, 52 nt
Filed under: Parasteatoda cingulata
Lineage: Eukaryota; Metazoa; Arthropoda; Arachnida; Araneae; Theridiidae
Description: tRNA-Gly
Source: RNAcentral